Molecule: long non-coding RNA, 514 nt
Organism: Larimichthys crocea (large yellow croaker)
Lineage: Eukaryota; Metazoa; Chordata; Actinopteri; Sciaenidae
Exons: 4
Source: RefSeq, a predicted model, not a curated record
CAAGCUCCAACUACUGCUCCGAACGCUACAGCUGGCUCUACUGAAGCUACCAAUGCCACACAAGCUCCAACUACUGCUCCGAACGCUACAGCUGGCUCUACUGCAGUUACUGCAGUCACAACUGUUGGCACUUUAGCUACCACCACAACCACAACUACAGCAGCACCACAAGAAGAGCCAAAGAUAAGCUUGGGAUUUUCAUUGCAGGAGACCUUUACACCAGAACUUACAGACAAGUCUUCACCAGCGUUCAAAGCCUUGGAAACCAAAGUAACCGAGUCGCUCAACAAAGUCUAUAGUGACCAAUUUGGAGAUGCCUUCAAUCGAAGUGUCAUCAAAAGCUUCAGGUCAGGGUCCGUUGUGGUAGAUGCUGAGCUGAUAUCAACAAUGUGUCUGCAACACCAAAUACCAGUUCUGUGACUAAUACUUUGCAGACUGCUGUUUCGAGCAGUGGUUUUAACCUCAGUGUCAACGCAUCAUCUAUCACAGCAGCCGUUGUUUUGGCACCAACUGA